GAUUAAUUAGCAAGUACACAAAUUAGUACAACUAGAACUGGUUUAUAAUUUCAUGAUUAGCCUUUAGAGCCUUUCAAAUAGAAACUGGGAUUGUUAAGAGUCCACAGUUUUAACAUAAUAAAAUGAAAGGAAGCAUAGUAUGUACAGCUAUAACUAAGUUAGAAGAAAGAAAAGAUACAGCAACAUCAGAGGAGACCCACGAGAGUAGCAGUCAUUUAAAGAUGACUAA
This 229-nucleotide long non-coding RNA is filed under the name Bos taurus (domestic cattle). RNAcentral describes it as "long non-coding RNA NONBTAT025019". Lineage: Eukaryota; Metazoa; Chordata; Mammalia; Artiodactyla; Bovidae. The record is from RNAcentral.